RNAcentral lists this ribosomal RNA (118 nucleotides) under Daucus carota subsp. sativus. Lineage: Eukaryota; Viridiplantae; Streptophyta; Magnoliopsida; Apiales; Apiaceae. The record is from RNAcentral.
GGGUGCGAUCAUACCAGCACUAAUGCACUGGAUCCCAUCAGAACUCCGAAGUUAAGCGUGCUUGGGCGAGAGUAGUACUAGGAUGGGUGACCCCCUGGGAAGUCCUCGUGUUGCACCC